ACACCAUGCUGACAGUCAAGCAUGGCGGUGACAGCAGCAGCAUGCUUUGGGGUUGUUAUUCUUCAGCUGGAACUGGAGCCUCAGACAAAGUGGAAGGAAUUACAAACAGUUUGAGAUAGCAGUCAGUGUUAGCACAAUAUCUUCAGCCGUCCGCUUGAUAGCAAAAAUAAUGACAGGAAACGCUUACGAGAACAGCUGAACUACAUUUGGUGUUGAUCAGAGGCACCUGUGUGCUGACUCCUAUAUAACAUGCGUUUGAAUGUGUGGGCGGCACGGUGGCCGACUAGUUAGAGGGUCUAUGUCACAGUUCUGAGGACCGGUGUGGACUUUGCAUGUUCUCCCCGUGCCUGUGUGGGUUUUCUCCGGGCACUCUGGUCUCCUCCCACAUCCCAAAAACAUGCAUGCUAGGUUAAUUGAAGACUCUAAAUUGCCCAUAGGUGUGAAUGUGAGUGCGAAUGGUUGUUUGUUUGUAUGUGUUCUGCGAUUGGCUGACAACCAAUUCAAGGUGUACCCUGCCUCCUGCCCGAAGAUAGCUGGGAUAGGCUCCAGCACGCCCGCGACCCUAGUGAGGAGAAGCGGCUCAAAAAAUGGAUGGAUGGUUAACAAAGUUAUAAAAGGGUGCGCACACUUGUGCAACCACAUUAUCUCAGUUGUUUAUUUUCACUGCCCCUCUCAAAAAUAAAAAGAAAAUAAUUUUUAAAAUUUCAAUUAAGUUGUAAAGGUUACAGGUCACACAAAUGGUCGAAAAAAGGUUUGAAAUUCAUUUUUUUUAUCACAAAAAAAUGUCAUUUGAACAGGGAUUUGUAGACUUGUGAAAUAUCCAAUGCAAUCUCAGUGGUAAAUGUCAGUUAUUUACUUUCUGAUAGACUGUGAUCUUUUAUUCACUUCUCCAGUCCUUCCCUUGUCCACAAAUAUUUUGGCAGGAACACAAAGAGCUCUAUCUGAAAACGAAACCUCUGCCAAGCUCCCAUUUUUUGUUCAGGGAUGCUCUGCAUCACGCACAUGUUUGUGUGAAUCUGUGCCCACUCAAAAAUCUUGGAUGUUCCUCUCUCAAGUGAAAGCCUGUAAUCUCAUUUUCAAAAUGCAAUUUUAUCAAUCAGACAUGCUUCUAAAUGGUCCGAGACAAAAUCACAUUUGCAGGCAAUUUCCCGCCCCGGCACCUGUCGUUUGUCAUCACAGUGAUAAACGUGACACGCCGAGGCAGACUCACAUCGACAUGGAGACACGGGAUCCAGUUUGCCUCCCACUGUAUAUGUGAUGCCUGGGCUGGUUAGUACCUCGGAGGUUGCAGAGGAAGACGAGGCACCAGAUACAGGCGGUGCAACAGAUGACCAGGCCCACAGCCAGCACUGCACGGUCGGCCACCUUCCCGCUCAGCCAGCGAACAAAGAGGAAGCCCAGGAUGACUUCCACCCCACACAGGCUGUACAUCACACUGUUGCCCAACUCGUCGAAGCCGAAGUAGCGUUGCGUCAGAGGAGUCACCAUGGUCUGAAACAUAUGGUUACAAAGGCAUGAAAUGCUUCACUCAGUGAAAAGGAGGACGCCCGCAUGAGAGCAAUUCUUCACAAGCAACACAUAGACUAAUGUUUUUUCCAUUUUCAUACUAACCAGAUGGCGAUCCUGGUCAAUAAUGUAAGACCAUUUUGUCAAAGUAGUUUAACGCUUCAUCUGUAAAAGUAGAACCAAGGGGCUGUCCAAAAUGGAUUAUGCAUGCUUCACUAUGAAGAGCCAACUAAAAGGAGUUCUGCCAGUCAAUCAGUGAAGGGUGAUGGCCAUAAUACUGCAUAUCAUAUUUUUUUUCCUGGAAAAAAAACACACACGUAAGCAGGGUACGGGUGUUAAAAAAAAAAAAAAAAAAAAGAUACCGCGAAGAAGCGGGGGGUUCCGCCAAUAACGGGGGAUAGGUUCACCCCCGAAAAAUUUGAGAAUCGGUUAUACCAUUAAUAAUUGCUGAUCAUUAUAAUGACCAUGAAGAAUAAAAAAAAAAAUACUCCUGAAAAAAAC
Phyllopteryx taeniolatus (common seadragon) is the source of this 2007-nucleotide long non-coding RNA. RefSeq lists it as uncharacterized. The record is from RefSeq and is a predicted model, not a curated record. The transcript is spliced from 3 exons. NCBI's taxonomy places the organism in Eukaryota, Metazoa, Chordata, Actinopteri, Syngnathiformes, Syngnathidae.